AUGAACGCUAGCGACAGGCUUAACACAUGCAAGUCGAGGGGUAACAGGGUAGCAAUACCGCUGACGACCGGCGCACGGGUGAGUAACGCGUAUGCAACCUGCCUAUAACUGGGGAAUAGCUCCCUGAAAGGGGAAUUAACACCGCAUAACACUAUUGAUUCGCAUGGAUUAGUAGUUAAAUGUAGCGAUACAGGUUAUAGAUGGGCAUGCGUGACAUUAGCUAGUUGGUGAGGUAACGGCUCACCAAGGCUACGAUGUCUAGGGGUUCUGAGAGGAAGGUCCCCCACACUGGUACUGAGACACGGACCAGACUCCUACGGGAGGCAGCAGUGAGGAAUAUUGGUCAAUGGGCGCAAGCCUGAACCAGCCAUGUCGCGUGCAGGAAGACUGCCCCCUAUGGGUUGUAAACUGCUUUUAUAGUAGAAGAAACACAUCUACGUGUAGAUGUCUGCCAGUAUACUAUGAAUAAGCAUCGGCUAACUCCGUGCCAGCAGCAGC
RNAcentral lists this ribosomal RNA (498 nucleotides) under uncultured bacterium. RNAcentral describes it as "bacterial SSU rRNA". It matches the Rfam family "Bacterial small subunit ribosomal RNA", at positions 29 to 518 of the family's 1533-position model. The record is from RNAcentral.